Long non-coding RNA from Spea bombifrons (plains spadefoot toad), 163 nucleotides. RefSeq lists it as uncharacterized. The transcript is spliced from 3 exons. The record is from RefSeq and is a predicted model, not a curated record. Lineage: Eukaryota; Metazoa; Chordata; Amphibia; Anura; Pelobatidae.
AACAAGUCUUCUUUUUCUACUCUGAUGUUCAGCAUAAAUUUCAUUGAGCGUCUGACAACAUUCAGUUUGAAACUAUGUGGACGGCACCAACAUAAAUCCAGAUGAGCAGGUCCCGUACUCCAGAGGUCCCAAAUGAUAGCAGGCUGCACUUGUCCCGAACACU